This 253-nucleotide ribosomal RNA is filed under the name uncultured bacterium. Its description in RNAcentral is "partial 16S ribosomal RNA". It matches the Rfam family "Bacterial small subunit ribosomal RNA", at positions 524 to 776 of the family's 1533-position model. The record is from RNAcentral.
UACGAGUGGUGCAAGCGUUAUUCGGAUUUAUUGGGCGUAAAGGGUGUGUAGGCAGUAUAUCAAGUCUGUUGUUAAAUAUCUCGGCCUAACCGAGAAGAUGCAGUGGAUACGGGCAGACUAGAGGCAGGUAGGGGAGAAUGGAAUUCCCGGUGUAGCGGUGAAAUGCGCAGAUAUCGGGAGGAACACCGGUGGCGAAGGCGGUUCUCUGGGCCUGACCUGACGCUGAGGAGCGAAAGCGUGGGGAGUGAACAGG